UACGUAGGUGGCAAGCGUUGUCCGGAUUUACUGGGCGUAAAGAGCGCGCAGGCGGUCGUCCAAGUCGCGUGUGAAAGCCCACGGCUCAACCGUGGAGGGUCAUUGGAAACCAUGUGGCUAGAGUCCGGAAGAGGAGAGUGGAAUUCCUGGUGUAGCGGUGAAAUGCGCAGAUAUCAGGAAGAACACCCGUGGCUAAGGCGGCUCUCUAGUACGGUACUGACGCUGAGACGCGAAAGCGUGGGGAGCGAACAGG
This 253-nucleotide ribosomal RNA is filed under the name uncultured bacterium. RNAcentral's name for it is "partial 16S ribosomal RNA". It matches the Rfam family "Bacterial small subunit ribosomal RNA", at positions 524 to 776 of the family's 1533-position model. The record is from RNAcentral.